RNAcentral lists this ribosomal RNA (253 nucleotides) under uncultured bacterium. RNAcentral describes it as "partial 16S ribosomal RNA". It matches the Rfam family "Bacterial small subunit ribosomal RNA", at positions 524 to 776 of the family's 1533-position model. The record is from RNAcentral.
UACGGGGGGGGCAAGCGUUGUUCGGAAUUACUGGGCGUAAAGGGCGCGUAGGCGGCUUUUCAAGUCGGGCGUGAAAUCUCCGGGCUUAACCCGGAAGGGUCGUUCGAUACUGUUGAGCUAGAGUGUGGAAGAGGCAACUAGAAUUCCGUGUGUAGCGGUGAAAUGCGUAGAUAUACGGAGGAAUACCUGAGGCGAAGGCGGGUUGCUGGGCCAACACUGACGCUGAAGUGCGAAGGCCAGGGGAGCAAACGGG